GUUGUUUGAGGCGGUAAAUUCCGUUGCAACCACGCACCCUAUGGGUUAAAAGAGAUGCAGGAGCCGCGACACCUGCCAAAUAAC
This 84-nucleotide non-coding RNA is filed under the name unclassified sequences. RNAcentral's name for it is "skipping-rope RNA". It matches the Rfam family "skipping-rope RNA". Rfam says of the family: Firmicutes, Fusobacteria, AlphaProteobacteria, Spirochaetes. Downstream gene The record is from Rfam by way of RNAcentral.